Molecule: non-coding RNA, 5777 nt
Organism: Manis javanica (Malayan pangolin)
Lineage: Eukaryota; Metazoa; Chordata; Mammalia; Pholidota; Manidae
Source: RefSeq, a predicted model, not a curated record
GUCACCAUAGAGACGGGGGCUGACAGCGAACGGAAGAGGAAGGAGCUGGCCGGGCUGUGAGGUGGCAGCGGUUGCAGCGGCGGAGCCGGCGCCUCGGCUGGGCACUGGGGUCUGUUCCCCCUUCCCCGCCUUUCCCCUGCAAGGGCGACGCUCCCGCGCUCAGGAGCCGGUCUGCCCCCGCACCCUCGCCCGCGCUCCUGGACCGCGCUGGCCGCGUCGGCCACGCCCGGGCAGCCCUUUAUCCGGCCGCUGCCGCCCCUGACCCUGCCACAGGGGCCUCCCCCUGUGCUGUCGUUCGCCCGCUGGCGCAGUGAGGGCCCUCGCCCCGCCGACGAGCCCGAGAACAGUCUCUGCCCUCCUUUCCCAGCCGCCAGCUCCAUUGCCGUCGCGCGCGGCGGGGACAAACCGAGCUGGGUCCCCCUGCCCCUCCUCAUCAGCUGCGUGACGCAGUCGGUUUUGUUUUCAGGCUAACGGCUGAAACUCGCCUUGGGCCUGCUUUCCAAGACUAGAAUUGGUCUUUGAUCGCUGAGAGGUAGAGUAGGGGCACCGGGCCUGGCAACGAUCACAUCCGAAGCCCGCCGAGCCUCCGUUUGUUUUCACAGGAGCCUUGCGUUGUCUCUAGCUGCUUCUCGACCUCUUGAUUUAGUUUGGUUUGGGUGCCUGGGACCCGGAUAAAAACAGACAUCGAAUUGCUCGAACUCAGCGGGAGUUACUGUCAUUUGCCUCCUGGCUCAUAGAGGAAGGUGGGUAGCACCAGCCUCAACGCAGCUGUGAUUUGGAGAAUAAUGCCCCGCAGAAUGGCUCCAUCAGCCAUUGUGCUUCUCUGACAAAGAGGCUGUCAGUGUUGAGUCACCAUAUCUGUCCACCUCAUUUGGAUGGGCAGGACUUCUGUGUGCCAUGAAAGUGGCUCCUGACCACUCCUGACUGGGAGGAGGGGUUGCUCUGGCGGUGUGUUUCCUCAACACCCAGGAGUAGAGUGGAAAGGGGUCCCAGCCCCUUCCCUGUGCCUGCCUUCAGCAGCUAGUUGGCAGCCCCUUUGGUAAAUUGAGAGAGAAACUUGCCCUGAGCAAGGUGCAAUUUGGGAAAGGCCUACCGAGUCAGGCUUCUCUAGCUAGGGGCCAUUGCUCUGUUGGAGCAUGUGCUUUUCCCACCUCCUUUAUCAGUUGCUGCUGUCUCUUGACUUUAGUCCAGUCUGCCAAUGUCUGUAGUCUUCCUUUUUGGGUUAGCUUUGACAGGAUUGAGUUUUGUUACCUCCCCUUUCUACUGGAAGACAGACCAUAAUCCUGAUUCUAAUAUUUAUUACCAUUUGCACUGAGGGUUAGGUCUGGCACCCUGAGGAGUGAAAACCAGGCAGACGCUGUCUGGAGAUGCUCGGCCUGCAAGUCUUGGAAAGAAAGCCCAAAGCGAGUUUCAGGCCUUACUCUGUUACUGACUUCAUGGAACUCAGGUUCCCUAGUUAGAACUGCUGGCCUACUGCUGGCCUGGCACCCACCAACCUGUUGAUCAAUCCUUGCAGUGGUGCCCUCUGGGGCAUGCACGUGGCAGGGCCCACCACCAUGAGACUGAGUUCCCUGUUGGCUCUGCUGCGACCAGCACUGCCCCUCAUCCUAGGGCUGUCCCUGGGAUGCAGCCUGAGCCUCUUGCGGGUUUCCUGGAUCCAGGGUGAGGGAGAAGAUCUCUGUGUAGAGGCUGUUGGGGAACUGGGAGGGCCACAGAAUCCAGACUCAAGAACCCGGCUCGAUCAAAGUGAUGAAGACUUUAAACCCCGGAUUGUCCCUUACUACAGGGAUCCCAAUAAGCCCUACAAGAAGGUGCUCAGGACUCGGUAUAUCCAGACAGAGCUGGGCUCUCGUGAGCGGUUAUUAGUGGCUGUUCUGACUUCCCGGGCCACACUGUCCACUCUGGCUGUGGCUGUGAACCGCACAGUGGCUCACCAUUUCCCACGGUUACUCUAUUUCACUGGGCAGCGAGGGGCUCGGACACCAGCAGGAAUGCAGGUGGUAUCUCACGGGGACGAGCGGCCGGCCUGGCUCAUGUCAGAGACCCUGCGCCAUCUUCACACACACUUUGGGGCCGACUACGACUGGUUCUUCAUCAUGCAGGAUGACACGUAUGUGCAGGCCCCCCGCCUGGCAGCCCUUGCUGGCCACCUCAGCAUCAACCAAGACCUAUACUUGGGCCGAGCAGAAGAGUUCAUUGGUGCAGGCGAGCAGGCCCGGUACUGCCAUGGGGGCUAUGGCUACCUGUUGUCACGGAGUCUCCUGCUUCGACUGCGGCCACAUCUGGAUGGCUGCCGAGGAGACAUUCUCAGUGCCCGUCCUGAUGAGUGGCUUGGCCGCUGCCUCAUCGACUCUCUGGGCAUCGGCUGUGUCUCACAGCAUCAGGGGCAGCAGUAUCGCUCAUUUGAACUGGCCAAAAAUAGAGACCCUGAGAAGGAGGGGAGCUCGGCUUUCCUGAGUGCCUUCGCGGUAUACCCCGUCUCCGAGGGAACCCUCAUGUACCGGCUCCACAAACGCUUCAGUGCUCUGGAGCUGGAGCAGGCGUACAGUGAAAUAGAACAACUGCAGGCUCAGAUCCAGAACCUGACCGCGCUGACCCCUGAAGGGGAGGCAGGGCUGAGCUGGCCCAUUGGGCUCCCAGCCCCCUUCACACCGCGCACUCGAUUUGAGGUGCUGGGCUGGGACUACUUCACUGAGCAGCACACCUUCUCCUGUGUAGAUGGGGCCCCCAAGUGCCCACUGCAAGGGGCCAGCAGGGCAGAUGUGGGCGACGCUGUGGAGACCGCUUUGGAGCAGCUCAAUCGGCGCUAUCAGCCCCGCCUGCGCUUUCAGAAGCAGCGGCUACUAAAUGGCUACCGGCGCUUCGAUCCGGCGCGGGGCAUGGAGUACACCCUUGACCUGCUGCUGGAAGCUGUGACACAGCGUGGACACCGGCGGGCCCUGGCCCGCAGGGUCAGCCUGCUGCGGCCACUGAGCCGAGUGGAAAUCUUACCUAUGCCCUAUGUCACUGAGGCCACCCGUGUGCAGCUAGUGUUGCCACUCCUGGUGGCCGAAGCUGCUGCGGCCCCUGCUUUCCUUGAGGCCUUUGCAGCCCGUGUUCUGGAGCCACGAGAGCACGCGUUGCUUACCCUGUUGCUGGUCUAUGGGCCUCGGGAAGGUGGCCGAGGGGCCCCAGACCCAUUUCUCGGGGUGAAGGCUACAGCAGCUGAGUUAGAGCGACGGUUCCCUGGGACAAGGCUGGCUUGGCUUGCUGUGCGCGCAGAGGCCCCCUCCCAGGUGCGGCUCAUGGACGUGGUCUCUAAGAAGCACCCCGUGGACACACUCUUCUUUCUCACCACCGUGUGGACCAGGCCUGGGCCUGAAGUCCUCAACCGCUGCCGCAUGAAUGCCAUCUCCGGCUGGCAGGCCUUCUUCCCGGUCCACUUUCAGGAGUUCAACCCAGCGCUGGCACCACAGAGAUCUCCCCUAGGACCUCCAGGGGCUGGCCCUGACCCCCCGUCCCCUCCUGGUGCUGAGCCUUCCCGGGGGACUCCCGUAGGUGGCAGGUUUGACAGACAGGCUUCCACGGAGGGCUGCUUCUACAACGCUGACUACCUGGCGGCCCGAGCCCGGCUGGCUGGCGAGCUGGCAGGCCAGGAAGAGGAGGAAGCCCUGGAGGGGCUGGAGGUGGUGGAUGUUUUCCUCCGGUUCUCAGGGCUCCACCUCUUCCGGGCCGUGGAGCCAGGGCUGGUGCAGAAGUUCUCCCUGCGCGACUGCAGCCCUCGGCUCAGCGAGGAGCUCUACCACCGCUGCCGCCUCAGCAACCUGGAGGGGCUGGGGGGCCGUGCCCAGCUCGCCAUGGCUCUGUUUGAGCAGGAGCAGGCCAACAGCACCUAGCGCGCUGCCCUGGCCUGGCCCCUCCUCGUAGUUCCCUUUCUGCCUCAGCUCUGGGCAGGGCAAGGCAAGAUGGAUGGACAGAUGGAGAGCUUGUUGCUGUAUUUUUUUAAUAAGAAAAUGUUAUUAAAAGCAUCUUCUGCCACAUUAUUUUUAGGUGUAGGGAAAAUGGAGAAAGGAGAAGUAUCUGGGGGGCUGGGAGGCGAUUUCCCAGGGGGACCCACUGCCUUCCCUUUCCCCCUUCCUCCCCACUUGCCAAUGACACACGGGGCUGCUAUCAGAUGCAUAACCUUUAAUCCACCCAGAAGGUGUCAGAGGAGUGACAGCAGAGCCCUGGGGAAUGGGGCAGCCCCAAGGCCUCCACAGACGCUCAUUCACAGGGGCUCCUAGGUGUUGCGCACAACCAGUGACUGCUCCAGCUCCUGCCUGCGCUGCUGGAUCUUUAGAGAGAUGAGAGCAGUAGCAGGGUCACAGUGCUGCUGGUGAGUGCCAGGGCCACCCCAGCCACCCGCUGCCCUGGAAGAGCAUCUGGGAGAUGGUGAGGGGGUGUGGAUUGCCAAAGGCAGCUGACAGGGCUGAGAAGGGAGGUUUCUCGUGGAGUAGGGGAGGGGGGCAGCCUGAGGUGCGUGGGCCCCUCCACACCUUGCAAUAGAAGUAGCGGCUGACGGCUUCCUGGGACCAGGGCUGGUGGUAGAACUCAGCCCGGCGCUCCUCCUCAGGGUUGCCUGCCACAUCUGUCAUCACCUGGGAGGGACAGUGGGGUCAAUCCUGAGCCCGGACCCCCUCCAGCCCCUCUGUACAAUGCUUACUGUCUUCCCAAUAUGCUUGUCUUCCAUCCAGUGCUCCCUGAGUCCCCUUCACCUUGAGGUCCCGGCUCUGGGAGCGGAGCAAGUCCUGGAUGUAGCCUUUGGGGUCUCUGGAGAAGCUUAGCAUGAAGUCCCUCUGGAUCUUGAGCUGGUUUAUGGACUCAAUCGUCUCAUGGAUCUGCAGGCCCAUGCUCUCUCCUGUUCUGGCUAGACUUGGUCAUUUCCGGGUCAAUGUCCCCCUCCAGCUCUAGGCUCUGGCCCCACCUUACUGUCCAGAGCACUGAUCUCCUGCUGGUUGGCCGUGGACAGGAGGAAGCUGCUCAUCUGCCCCUUCAAUGGCUCCUCCACCUCCACAUCAAUGUCAUAGCACGCUGUCUUCUUCUGGUCCGACGGGUCCACGCUGCCGGGGAAGUCCAGCCCUUGGGCUCAUGCACUACCCGCCACUGGCCCCCAGCAGAGGCCAAGGGCCGCUGGGGCAGAUGCAGUGGGGAGGGAGGGGAAACUGGUGGAAGGAAAAGGGAGGGAGGGUAGGACCACAAUGAUUCCCUGGUCUGAGGAGCAAGCUGGGGCCUCACCUGAUGACAUGGUUGAUGACAAUCGGGUCAGGGGGCAAUAGCAGAGCUGUGAGGCGCUGGGGAAUCUCAGAAAACUUCAGCCGAGGGCAAUCAAAAAUCUGAAGUAGGAGAGAGAGAGAGCACUCUUCCAUGCUCGGAAAGAACGUAACUGCAGUUCAUGACCCUUCCAUCUGGAAGGCCACAAGAAGCCAGGAUCAAGUCUUCAUUCCUCCCUGCUCAUUGCUGGUCCUAGGGUGGCUGUGGGGCUGGUGCAGGCAGGGAGGUGGGUUGGUCAGUGCAGUGGUUGGGAGCACAGGCCCCGGGUCGGCCUGCCUAGGCUUACUGCUGCCUCUAUGGCUUACUAUGCCACCGUGAAUGAGUUGCCACGUCAGGCCCAUUUCUUCUCAUCUGGAGUGGGGAUAAUAACAGCAUUUCUGUCACGGGGUGGUUGUGAGCAUUAAAUGAACCAGCGCACACAAGCGCUGGAGUAGUGCCUGGCAUAUGUGGCAUGUGGUAAGUGCUCAAUAAACACCAACUUAAUUUUA